AUGCGCUACAUCAGCUCGAACCUACCUACCCGACGCCUUAGUAUAUAAUGUAUAGUAUAAUUAUGCAGUAGAAAGUCUUUUCGUGGUAGCUUUCUGAGGGGUGAGCAGCCAUCUUGGAUUAUCAGUGGUGCAACGCAUUGCUCUAUAUACUCGUAUAUUGAGGUAGUAAAUACUUAGCAAAUUUUGUUUAUUAAAUAACAAAAACUAUAAAUAUUGUUGCUUAAUAUACAAUAUGUAUGUAGCUUAAAUGCUAACACAACACCUUAAUUACCAUGAAAGUAACAAAAAAGUCCUAGCCUAAGAUUUUCUAGAGUUGAGUAUAUGUAUGUAUGUAAACAAGGCUUACUGUAUGUACUAAGACUUUUCGCAAAUAAUUAUGUUAUGAUAAUAAAUGCCAUAAAUUUUAUCCUGUCGAGAUUAUGUUGGCUUGUUAUAAGCUAUCAUCGCUUGUACCCCUGCAAGACGGAGGUAACAGAUUGCACAAACACAUUGAAACAUUUUCAGCUGUUCACUAACACUGUUACAUUUUCUGGAAUUUUCAAUGGAAUGGGAGAAUACGAGAGGCGAAUACCCAAUAUUUCAAGAAGAAUAAACGAAAAGCGCAGUUUAUUUUGGAUUUUAAAGAGAGAAAACGAAAGAGGUUAACAAGGAGAAAAAGAAAUCAUUUGGACCAUUGGUAAAAUUCAAAUCUAUUGCGUGCAGCAACCAAAUAAUGGAGUAUGUUUCAAAUUAUUAAAGUUAAAUAGUGUAUAUUUAAUUCAAAUAUUUGUUAUAGAUUGUGCAUUUUAUUUUGAUUUUAUUAUUAAAUAAAGAGAAAUAAUAAAAAAACUGAGUUUUAUUUAAAAGAAUUUAGAAUUAUUUGCUAGAAGUAACAAAUGGGUAACAGAUAAUCUUGUUACUGCUUGUUCUUCCUAACAUGCUUAUAUGUUAAAGGUAACAAACUGAUAACCAAAAUAAUAACACUAACAGAUAUUCGGGUAACAAAUACUUUUUGUUAUCCAUAACACAUGGGUAAGCUAAGCGCUAACAAAAUAAUUUGUUACCCGUAACAUACUGUGAAGAGAUUUGCUAACAAAUGUGUGUAUUCUGUUAGAACAAGGCAGCAUGCGAUAUUUGCC
Molecule: long non-coding RNA, 1118 nt
Organism: Bactrocera dorsalis (oriental fruit fly)
Lineage: Eukaryota; Metazoa; Arthropoda; Insecta; Diptera; Tephritidae
Exons: 4
Source: RefSeq, a predicted model, not a curated record